ACACAUGCAAGUCGAGGGGCAGCAUGGUCUUAGCUUGCUAAGGCCGAUGGCGACCGGCGCACGGGUGAGUAACACGUAUCCAACCUGCCGUCUACUCUUGGACAGCCUUCUGAAAGGAAGAUUAAUACAAGAUGGCAUCAUGAGUCCGCAUGUUCACAUGAUUAAAGGUAUUCCGGUAGACGAUGGGGAUGCGUUCCAUUAGAUAGUAGGCGGGGUAACGGCCCACCUAGUCUUCGAUGGAUAGGGGUUCUGAGAGGAAGGUCCCCCACAUUGGAACUGAGACACGGUCCAAACUCCUACGGGAGGCAGCAGUGAGGAAUAUUGGUCAAUGGGCGAGAGCCUGAACCAGCCAAGUAGCGUGAAGGAUGACUGCCCUAUGGGUUGUAAACUUCUUUUAUAAAGGAAUAAAGUCGGGUAUGGAUACCCGUUUGCAUGUACUUUAUGAAUAAGGAUCGGCUAACUCCGUGCCAGCAGCCGCGGUAAUACGGAGGAUCCGAGCGUUAUCCGGAUUUAUUGGGUUUAAAGGGAGCGUAGAUGGAUGUUUAAGUCAGUUGUGAAAGUUUGCGGCUCAACCGUAAAAUUGCAGUUGAUACUGGAUAUCUUGAGUGCAGUUGAGGCAGGCGGAAUUCGUGGUGUAGCGGUGAAAUGCUUAGAUAUCACGAAGACUCCGAUUGCGAAGGCAGCCUGCUAAGCUGCAACUGACAUUGAG
RNAcentral lists this ribosomal RNA (709 nucleotides) under uncultured Bacteroidales bacterium. RNAcentral describes it as "bacterial SSU rRNA". It matches the Rfam family "Bacterial small subunit ribosomal RNA", at positions 51 to 750 of the family's 1533-position model. The record is from RNAcentral. Lineage: Bacteria; Pseudomonadati; Bacteroidota; Bacteroidia; Bacteroidales.